Molecule: unclassified non-coding RNA, 376 nt
Filed under: Polistes fuscatus (common paper wasp)
Lineage: Eukaryota; Metazoa; Arthropoda; Insecta; Hymenoptera; Vespidae
Description: cell wall integrity and stress response component 3- like, transcript variant X1
Source: RNAcentral
ACGAGCGAAUAAAUGGUAUCCGCGAACAAAGGAAACGUCGGAGGAGUCUCCAUCGACCUCCUCCCACUUCCGAUAAUUCCGAAAACUCAUUUGAAGACUUCGCUGAGAAGCGUAAAAUACAGGUAGACGAGUAAUUGUGCGGUUGUAGAGCAACGGAAACGACCACGAUAGAGAGAAUGAACGAUUUCGGAUGAACUAAGACCGAUCCCAAGACACGUCUGAUAAUGGCCACUACUCUAAUACCACCACCGGCAUUCGCCACCACCUUCAGCACCACCUUCAGCACUACCACCACCACCACCACCAGCACUACUACCUGCAUUACUGUCGAGAGUUCCUAGGAAAUAAAAUGGCAAAUUAUCCCUUCGCAAGGAUA